This 253-nucleotide ribosomal RNA is filed under the name uncultured prokaryote. RNAcentral describes it as "partial 16S ribosomal RNA". It matches the Rfam family "Bacterial small subunit ribosomal RNA", at positions 525 to 777 of the family's 1533-position model. The record is from RNAcentral.
ACGUAGGGGGCAAGCGUUAUCCGGAAUUACUGGGCGUAAAGCGCGCGCAGGCGGUCUUCCAAGUCAGUGGUGAAAGCCUGGAGCUCAACUCCAGAACUGCCAUUGAAACUGUUGGACUUGAGUACGAGAGAGGUGAGUGGAAUUCCCAGUGUAGAGGUGAAAUUCGUAGAUAUUGGGAAGAACACCAGUGGCGAAGGCGGCUCACUGGCUCGUAACUGACGCUCAGGCGCGACAGCGUGGGGAUCAAACAGGA